Molecule: long non-coding RNA, 859 nt
Filed under: Lathyrus oleraceus (garden pea)
Lineage: Eukaryota; Viridiplantae; Streptophyta; Magnoliopsida; Fabales; Fabaceae
Description: Pisum sativum (pea) long non-coding RNA (PSAT_LNC016315)
Source: RNAcentral
AGAAAAAACAAUAAUUCAAAAAAAGUCUACAAAAAGUUUUACAUUUUUUUACAGUAACAUUAUACAAAGUUAUUUACAAAAACCAAUCUACCAAAAAGUAUUUCAACAAAAUAUGAUAAAAUUGCAUUUUUUUUACAGUAAUAUUAUACAAAAUUCAAGUAGGUUACUGUAAUUCAAAAAGACGGCAGCAACACCUUUGAUUCUUUGGGCAUAAGUUUUGUCCUCUAUACACCUGAAUGUGCAGAAUAGUAGAAUUAAAAUGUUAUUAGAAUAUAUAAAACAAGAGUAUAUAGAACAAGAGCCAAUAUAAACAUACUAGUGAAUCAAUAAAAAUAAAAAUAAAAAUUUAAACAGCAGUAAACAAAUGUUUCAGAGAAAAAUAGGCAGGUUAUUUUACAGUAAGAUAAAGCAUAUUUGAUUCUUUCCCUUUCCAUCAAUAAAAAUUUCAACAGCAGACAAUUGUUUCAGAAAAAUAGGCUUCAUUAUUUUGCAGUAAGAUAAAACAUAUUUGAUUCCUUCCCUUUCAAUCAAUAUACAUCUAUUUGAAACCCUAAAAUCCCCUAUAUAAAAGGAUAAAAAACAAACAGCACCAAGGAGGAGAAUGGCAUAAAAAUCAUAGAGAUAGAAGAAAACCAGAAUCGAAAAAUCAAAUAUCAGUAGUCAAACAUCUUCAAAAUAUUCGUCAUACCAAAAUCCCACAAACAACAAAGCCUCACUCAAACAAAAAACUUCUCGUUAUCACAAAAGAAAAAAUUCAGAGUACCUGAAGUCGGCUUUAGUUUUCUCAAAUCGCGUUUCGAUCCAAGGUAGGUACUUAUCUUUACUUACUGUAUGAUAUUUUCGAUUGUCGUUUCUUGUU